This 92-nucleotide transfer RNA is filed under the name Alistipes sp. RNAcentral describes it as "tRNA-Ser". It matches the Rfam family "tRNA". From Rfam's summary of the family: Transfer RNA (tRNA) molecules are approximately 80 nucleotides in length. Their secondary structure includes four short double-helical elements and three loops (D, anti-codon, and T loops). Further hydrogen bonds mediate the characteristic L-shaped molecular structure. tRNAs have two regions of fundamental functional importance: the anti-codon, which is responsible for specific mRNA codon recognition, and the 3' end, to which the tRNAs corresponding amino acid is attached (by aminoacyl-tRNA synthetases). tRNAs cope with the degeneracy of the genetic code in two manners: having more than one tRNA (with a specific anti-codon) for a particular amino acid; and 'wobble' base-pairing, i.e. permitting non-standard base-pairing at the 3rd anti-codon position. Lineage: Bacteria; Pseudomonadati; Bacteroidota; Bacteroidia; Bacteroidales; Rikenellaceae. RNAcentral also lists the same sequence under 1 other name. The record is from RNAcentral.
GGAGAGAUGGGUGAGUGGCUGAAACCACCGGUUUGCUAAACCGACGUACGGGGUAACCCGUACCACGAGUUCGAAUCUCGUUCUCUCCGCCA